Molecule: non-coding RNA, 554 nt
Organism: Pelobates cultripes (western spadefoot toad)
Lineage: Eukaryota; Metazoa; Chordata; Amphibia; Anura; Pelobatidae
Source: the annotation of a GenBank genome assembly
UUAAGUUAGGUGGCAACAUAAACUACUCAGCAAGCAAAGCCGUCUUAAUUAUGAUCUGUGUGUUCCUAUAAUUCCAUUUGUGAGUUUAGUUUUGCAGUGAUUUGUAUGAAAUUGUGCGGAGCCAGCUUACCGGUACACCAUACGUCAAUUGCCUGCAACCAAAGCAGAACCAAAGUGGCUGCCUAGGGCCCAUAGGUUAGACAGGGGGCCGUAUAAUUAUGAAUUUAUCUACUUGUCAUUAAUUCCUAUAUGAAGAAUGAAUCAGGGGAGGGGGGCUGAUAACCGGUUUAGGGCUCACGUAGGUUCCUUCUUUCCCUGCAAUUUAUGUUUACAUAUUUACCAACAUUAAGAAUCUGCAUUGCAGGCAAAUUGGUGCAGGUAGUACUUGAAAGUCUAGUACUGUCCAUUUCAAUACAAGAUCACUGCUGGCAAACUGCUAUCUUUCCACUGAAUUUUUUUUAUGUUUAUGGGGGAAAAAAAUGAAUAGCUGCGCCUGAGAUUGCCUGUACCUAAUUAUUUCCCCUAAAAGUUCUUAAAUUGAAAUUAAUUAAAAA